AAUUCACUCCGUUUCGGUUCCCCCAGGCAGUCGCUCCCUUUCUGGUUCCCACUCUCAUCCCCCGGCCCUUACCCACUUACCCUCCCAUCGCGCUCCCCAACCCCUUCCUCUCUCCUCGAAACCCUAGUUCCCCCGAUCUCCUCUCCUCCCAAAUCCACCGCUGAUCCCAUCCUCCCCUCGAAAACCUAGCUCGCCGAUCCCAUCUCCCCCUUUUCGAUCCCGCCGACAUGUCGAGCGCCUUGGACAUGUCUCUCGAUGAAAUGAUCAAAAAGAACAAGACGUCCUCCGCCGGAAAUUUCCGCGGCCGGGGACGAGGGUCUGGCGCCGGCCCCGCCCGACGCUUCCCCCCCCGCUCCAGGAACCGCUCCGCCCCUUAUUCGAUCGGCAAGGCUCCGGAUUCGGCAUGGCAGCAUGAUAUUUAUUCUGGCCAGAUGAGGGGUUAUCCGGCGCCGGUGGCUAAGCCAGCAGCUAUAGAGACGGGCACCAAGCUCUACAUCUCCAACUUGGACUACGGGGUCUCGAACGAGGAUAUCAAGGAACUCUUCUCAGAGGUUGGUGAUCUGAAGCGCUACUCAAUUCAUUAUGAUAGGAGUGGAAGGUCCAAGGGAACAGCAGAAGUUGUCGUCUCAAGGCGAGGAGAUGCUUUAGCAGCUGUAAAAAGAUACAACAAUGUGCAACUUGAUGGCAAACCAAUGAAAAUAGAGAUUGUAGGAACAAACAUCCCGACACCAGCGGCUGUGUCUCAGGUUUCAAAUGGGAGCUAUGGAAAACCUAAUGGUGUUUCUAAGAGUGCACCAAUAAGGGGCUCCAUAGGACAGCCACGAGGUGGUGGCCGUGGAAGGGGGAGGGGCCGUGGUCGAGGUAAAGGCCGCAAUGAACCAAUUUCUGCUGCAGAGCUUGAUGCUGAUUUGGACAAGUACCAUUCAGAAGCAAUGCAAGUCAACUGAAACCACCUCUUAUCUGGAUUUUAUGUGCUCCAAUUGCUUGCUCAGUGCUGCCCAAUAGUUUUUGUUUUUCUACAUCCAUGCUGCUGUAGGAAAGGGAAGAUAGUACUCUUAAAAGUACUUCACUGGUUUAUGGGGCUCUGAUUUUCUUAUUGUUACUGCUCUUGAUUUCAACAUGCUACUUGGAUUAAGUGGACAUCUGGUGACCGUGCUUGAGGAUCAUUUCAUUUGGUUGGCUUCAUUUUUCUCACUCUCAGUAAUGCGGCUCGGAUUCUAUCUUGUAUUGGUUGCGCAAACUGUUCAAGUCAGCUGCACAGGGUAAGCUGCAGUGCUUUUGAGAAUAUGCGGUCCUAGUUUCUCGUUCUGAAUUGUUUCACAUCCCAUACUGGUGUAAGGUAGGCUGUAUAGCAGAAUCCUUAGUGACAAAUGCUUUCCUUUAGUAGCAUCUACUCAGUUGAUGGUAUGAGGUUCCUUUACCUACCUAAACCAAAAGUAUCCGUGGGCUGCUGUUGAUCUACGGUAGUAUCAGCGCCAUGACUAUUGAAAAUAUGCUUGACGGUGCAUCAAAUACCAUUAGAAUUGCGCGUCAACUGAAAGCAGGUUGAUUUUGUGGGCUGUGCUUGUUGGGCUUUAGGUUGGCAAGGUGCCUAAACCAAAAAUUCUGUGGGCUGCUGUUGAUUUCACAGUCAUCAGUGCCUGUGAAUGUUGGAAAUAUGCAUGAUGGUGCAUCAGAUAUCAUUAGAAUUGUGCAUCAACUAAAAUCUGGUAGAUGCUUGUGGGCCACUGAGGCAGAGGUUAGGGUGUCCAGGUGCAUAAAUCAAAAAUUCUGUUGGCUGCUGUUGAUUUGCUGUAGGAUCAGUGCCCACGAAUUUUGAAAAUAUGCAUGAUGGUGCAUCUGAUAUCAUUAGAAUUGCGUGAACUGAAAGCAGGUUGAUGCUUGUGGGCUAUGCUUGCGAACUGAGGCUGACCUUAGGGUGUCGAGGUGCAGAACCAUGUUUGGUUUUGCUUGCUCAUGAACUGUUGAAGGUAUUAUACCUGCAAUAUAACAUAUGCUCGCUGAUAUCUGUGCAGCGUGUGAUCAAUGCUGUGCUCGAGUUUUUGGUAUUUGGGAUUGUGAUGUUGAAUAAAGUAGAAGGUGAUGGCUUUGGAAGUACUGAUAUAAUGAUCAUUGGCCAAGUUGGUCAUUGCUCAAGCCUCAAAGGUGCUUAUAUGCCCCUGGCAUAGGGUCACAUUGUUUCAUUAGGCACUGCUAUCAUGAGAACUGGUGCUGAAGAUGAGGUUUAAUUGGGUGGCACCUUGGAUCCUUCAUGUCGUAUCUGAUAGCUCUGAAAUGAAGUUGAGAUCUCAUGGUAUAAAAUAUGGCGAUCAAUUUCAACCGGAAGAAUUGUAUAUCAUCUCAUGGUAUUUCUCUUAUCACCACUUUAGAAGUUGGUAAUCAUAGCGGUGAAAAGGAAAUAUUUGCAGGCUGGAUGAAUAACUAACUUAAACAAUUUACCUUGGGAUUAUUUUUUGACUUCUUGUAGAGGUUAUCAUUGGCUUCCUUGCGCAGCUGCCUUAAGAAUGCUGUGCUUGUAUGUCAUGCCAGUGUCACAGCAGUUGGUGUGCCUCACAAGCGACAUCACAUGUUGGACGCUGCAUUUUAAUGCAGUUCAACGUAACAAUUAUUUUUGCUGCACGGUCCGUGGGAAAGUUUGAUCAAGUUCUGCUACAUGGCCAACAAGCUUAACUUUGCAGUGUAGAUGAUGAUGGUGCCUAUCUGGCUUGCUAUUGCUGGCAAGCUGUAUUUGUGCAUACCUUUUAUUCGAAAGUGCCAUCUGGAUGUCAUAUCUUGAUGCUAGCCUCUAUAUGUGGCUUGAUGAAACUAGAAUGGCCUUGGUCAAGCAAGAUCAAGAGUUAUUCAUGUCUUUUCAGCAACCAACGGUUGCAUGGAUUGCUUCUGAAUGGAAAUGAGAU
This is a non-coding RNA of Phoenix dactylifera (date palm), 2897 nucleotides long. The record is from RefSeq and is a predicted model, not a curated record. NCBI's taxonomy places the organism in Eukaryota, Viridiplantae, Streptophyta, Magnoliopsida, Arecales, Arecaceae.